This 492-nucleotide ribosomal RNA is filed under the name uncultured bacterium. RNAcentral describes it as "partial 16S ribosomal RNA". It matches the Rfam family "Bacterial small subunit ribosomal RNA", at positions 29 to 507 of the family's 1533-position model. The record is from RNAcentral.
AGUGAACGCUGGCGGUAGGCCUAACACAUGCAAGUCGAACGGCAGCACAGUAAGAGCUUGCUCUUACGGGUGGCGAGUGGCGGACGGGUGAGGAAUACAUCGGAAUCUACUUUUUCGUGGGGGAUAACGUAGGGAAACUUACGCUAAUACCGCAUACGACCUACGGGUGAAAGCAGGGGAUCUUCGGACCUUGCGCGAUUGAAUGAGCCGAUGUCGGAUUAGCUGGUUGGCGGGGUAAAGGCCCACCAAGGCGACGAUCCGUAGUUGGUCUGAGAGGAUGAUCAGCCACACUGGAACUGAGACACGGUCCAGACUCCUACGGGAGGCAGCAGUGGGGAAUAUUGGACAAUGGGCGCAAGCCUGAUCCAGCCAUACCGCGUGGGUGAAGAAGGCCUUCGGGUUGUAAAGCCCUUUUGUUGGGAAAGAAAAGCAGCAGGUUAAUACCCCGCUGUUCUGACGGUACCCAAAGAAUAAGCACCGGCUAACUUCGUG